RNAcentral lists this ribosomal RNA (597 nucleotides) under Escherichia coli. RNAcentral describes it as "partial 23S ribosomal RNA". It matches the Rfam family "Bacterial large subunit ribosomal RNA", at positions 606 to 1204 of the family's 2925-position model. Lineage: Bacteria; Pseudomonadati; Pseudomonadota; Gammaproteobacteria; Enterobacterales; Enterobacteriaceae. The record is from RNAcentral.
UUUUGUAUAAUGGGUCAGCGACUUAUAUUCUGUAGCAAGGUUAACCGAAUAGGGGAGCCGAAGGGAAACCGAGUCUUAACUGGGCGUUAAGUUGCAGGGUAUAGACCCGAAACCCGGUGAUCUAGCCAUGGGCAGGUUGAAGGUUGGGUAACACUAACUGGAGGACCGAACCGACUAAUGUUGAAAAAUUAGCGGAUGACUUGUGGCUGGGGGUGAAAGGCCAAUCAAACCGGGAGAUAGCUGGUUCUCCCCGAAAGCUAUUUAGGUAGCGCCUCGUGAAUUCAUCUCCGGGGGUAGAGCACUGUUUCGGCAAGGGGGUCAUCCCGACUUACCAACCCGAUGCAAACUGCGAAUACCGGAGAAUGUUAUCACGGGAGACACACGGCGGGUGCUAACGUCCGUCGUGAAGAGGGAAACAACCCAGACCGCCAGCUAAGGUCCCAAAGUCAUGGUUAAGUGGGAAACGAUGUGGGAAGGCCCAGACAGCCAGGAUGUUGGCUUAGAAGCAGCCAUCAUUUAAAGAAAGCGUAAUAGCUCACUGGUCGAGUCGGCCUGCGCGGAAGAUGUAACGGGGCUAAACCAUGCACCGAAGCUGCG